CUGCGGAGGACUAGCCUUUAUGGCUGCUCCCGCCUUAAACUUGCUGCACGACCGCAAGCUAAUGCUAGGUUAAUGAAGUGGUGUUUACAUAUAUUUCAGCAACCGUUCAUGGCUUUGUGGCGUUAAAAAUUGAAUGUUGCCUUAUGGUGACUUUCUUGACUUUUGACCUCGAAUCAGACAAGGAUACCCGCUGAACUUAA
RNAcentral lists this unclassified non-coding RNA (200 nucleotides) under soil metagenome. RNAcentral's name for it is "partial contains internal transcribed spacer 2 and large subunit ribosomal RNA". The record is from RNAcentral.